This 16606-nucleotide long non-coding RNA is filed under the name Monomorium pharaonis (pharaoh ant). RNAcentral describes it as "uncharacterized LOC118645172". Lineage: Eukaryota; Metazoa; Arthropoda; Insecta; Hymenoptera; Formicidae. The record is from RNAcentral.
UAAUUAUUGUGUUUUAGUUUUCAAUUUUAUUUACAUUUAUUUAUGUGUUUUAAAAGAUAAUAUGUACAUUGUGUAGAAAAGCCAAAAGAAUUUUGUUGCAUCGACAUAAUCAGCGCAAACAUAACGUCAAUGUAAUAAUUUUCACAAAUAGCAUGACAUUAAAAAAAAUUGUAAUAUCUUUGCCACACUGCAUUUACAAAAUCUUCUCUUGUCACAGUAUAAAAUUAAAUACUGCAGUAAAAACUCACAUAUAAUUAAAAAGGCAUAAUUAGUUUCUCUCUCGAUAUUUUUCCUCCCAUCACACGACCCCCUUAAGCGGCCAAUAAAAAUCGCGAGUCUCCUACCACAGUGCCAACCUUUCAAAUGCAACGUGUAUUAAAAGCGCGAGCGGUGCGCAUGAGAAAGUAUAAACGAAAAGCGCAACAAUACCAAAAAAGCGUUAUAACUAUUGCGCGUAAUGCUGGACUUUAAAAGAGUCCAUCGUUCCGUUCCGGCAAAUACCGCGCGACUUAAAUUGCGUCACGGUCCUUCCCGUGCUAUCCCGUGAACACAUUUAAUUCCAUUCGCGAACCACCCUCCGUCCCGCCCGCACCGCCCCGUCGGCCCUUCCUGUCUCCCGGCUUGCAUCAGCACCAAGUCCGUAUGUCGCGAAUCGAAGUACAAAGAAGCAAUAGUAGAAAUAAGAUAAUUGCUAUUACAAUCGCAAUUUCAUCCAGGACGACGGAACCUUGGUGGUAAAGGGACGCGGGGGGGUUGGAGCGCGAGAGCGGAACGAGGGAAGGGACGGAGAAGGACGACUGCCGCAGAGAGCUGAACUACAAAGUACGUUAAUGUCGUGCUCACACCCCCGUGCACCCCCAGCGCCAUUCCGAUGCCGCAGACAGUUUGUUGUCGAAGCUUCGGGGAUUACACAAAUGAGGUUGUUCAGCGGGAGAAAUGUACAUUCCGCUACAAAGCCGGUGUCCGCGCGCGCCGUGUGCCACGCACGGAAUUAAAAACCGGGGUGGAAGAGCGAAGGUGAAAAGUGCCGCUCUGCCGCGAUCGCCCCUACCCUCCCCCGCGCCGCGGACAAUAUUUUCUUUGCUGAAAGCCGGCGCGCCGUAGAAUGGAUUUUCAUCGGCGCGGCGUUUGAGCCCUUCAAGAACGGAAUUCGUUUUUAUCGGAUACGCGCGCGCUCUCUCUCGCAUCGGAAUAUCGCCGCGGUGACCGGUGUAGUUUUUAAAAAUAGCAUCCUUCGACCUCGAUCGUCGCCGUCAGCGGCUUGAACAUAUUGCAGACGCGUUGACGCGUGUCAGUAAAUCUCUACGAUACGUUCGCGAAUCGGCCGCGUCGGCUUUAAAUGUCUCGGAGGAAAAGCGUUGUUUCCCACGGCCGCGUCACUUUUCAUUAACUAGUAAUACUGAUAUUCUUAAAUUGUUAUUAAUAGUGGUCCAUUAAAUUUCAUUUUUCUUAUGUGAUUUAUAAUAUUUAUAUCUUAUCUGAUUUAUUUUAUAUGUGAGUCUGUAUAACUUUUGUUCUUAAAAAAUUAAUUUACUUCGGUUUUAUUUUAUUCAAAUAUUACAUUAAAAUUGGAUGAAACAUAAGAUUUUACAACUAAGAAUCUCAUAAUUCAAAAUUGUAAUAAUAUUUGAUUAAAAGAAGAACUUUAUAAUAAGAAAUUUGUAAAGAAUUGCACAAGUAAUUUCAAAAGAAAGUAUAUUGUAUAUCCACGUUCAUUCUCACCUAUAUAAUUUUUUUCAAAUGUUCCUAUGUAUAUUUACAAACUUCUAACCAUACCUUAUCCCAUUUACAACUGAUCGCUAAUUAAUGAAAAAUUAAUUAAGGUACAUUCUAUCGCAGAAACAAGUUAUAAUCAAAUGUAAAGAUACGUAUUAAAUUAUUGCAUAAUAAUUUAGAUUCAUACCGUGUAAGAAUUCUGCGCUUACAAAUAUCGCGUGCACUAACACUUCCCAAGUGAAGCCUUGAGAGCUUUUUCGCCUUGUCUAAUCUUUCGCAAAUAGUAGCGAAAUUCUCGGUAAAGUUAGUCUGUGUUUCAGGAAGGAACAGGACGGCAGCCGAGCGCGAUAGUGACGUCGGCGGAAACUAGUUAGGUCGGAGGCCGGCGCAAGUCCGAGGGGGUUGUAACGGAGGCGGCUCUCGUGCCAGCGCACCAUAGGGACCGGGGAUAGUAAUUGUAUACGUACUGGGAGAAUGGCAAGAUAUGCAGCUACACCACCAUCGCGGCGACAGAUUUUCCCCCAGGGACAGUUUCCACGUCCGUCAAGACGCGGCAAAAAGUGAGGACGAUCGACUAUGCCGAGGGCUGCUAUGGCAAGCUGUUUUCCCGGCCGAUGGCGGACAGAUGACGGCGGAGCGGAGGAGCUUAACAAAUGGUCAUUCGGUCGUUGCCACGAAACGCACCUACUUGAGAUGCGGAGGAUCUAUGGCUGCCAUUUCUCACCGGCGCUUUGCGGCCGAAGCAAUACCCUAAGCGGACCACGCAUAAGAACUGUUGAGACAUCCUAGAAGGACUCUCCGAGCAGGUUGAUCACCGUCACGUGGCUUCCGUGGUGUCUUACUGAAAUACUAUGGCGAAACACAAGCGAGGGUUUGCUGAAGUAAUGCGCCGUAAUGACGAAGAAACUUCGCGCUUCAGGAGGAAACCAUUACCCGUUGUUUUAUACGUAGAAUGAAGGACGUACUAAUCUCGUAUGAGAUACAUUUAAGUUAUUAUAUUUAUUUAUUAUAUCUCGUAUAUAUUAUAGAGAUACGGAUAAAAUAGCUAAAUAUACAAUACCGCUCGCAAAAAGUAUUUGCCUGCUUUAUCUUUUUAAUUAUAAUAAAUGAUGAGAAUUUUGAAAAAGAAUGAGUUUUAAUCUUUUUCCUUUUUAAUCUUUUACAUAUUAGACUUAACAAUAAUUUCUUUAGUGACUUCUUCUUCGCAAUUGUCCUUUGAAACGAUACUAUCAAGACUGGCAAGCAAUUCCUCAACUUAUUUGACACGUUUUCCUUUAUUACGUGUACCAAAUAAAGCAGAAGAGUGAUGUUGCUAGAAAAACGAUGAGUUUAGCAUGGAAGUGGAUUUAUAGACGUACGGUUAUGCGGCGCAAGCUGUCAAACGAUCAUCCCUCGACAGUUUGGGGUUUACUGGGACAUCGGACGUAAACUGCCCUCGGGGACCUUGUUAGUUCAAUUCGCCUGAACGCCCCCCUCCCUCCGCCUCUCUCCUCCCUUUCUUUUUCUCUCUCCCACCUCUAAAAAAAUCUCCGUGGUCCCAGAGUCACCACCCUCCCCGUCUUUCCUCCGUCAUCUGGCCGCGCAGCGAGACGAGAACGUGCGUUUACGUUACCGCUUAUUAUGUUGUUCCGGAAAAGAGGAUUAUUGCGAUAUGCCCGCCGUCGAAAAACAGCGCAAAACGCUUCCGGCUAUUGCGAGCUCGCGUUUAAAUCGUUGAACCUUUGUGUAUACAACGUAUGGUGUUUAUUGUUUAAUGUUUCGCGCGCGUUGAAGAAGGUGCCACCGCGUUGCGCGCCCGCUUGUUAAAAUUUUCGCGUUAAAAAUUGUCCGCUUCUUUUGUAAAGUCGGUAAGGAGGACCGUGAAGAUGGAAUACAGAUGGCACAUAUCAAAGAAAUCAAAUGAAAACUCUCAACUAGGAGAAAUUGAAACGGAUUGAAAAUGGUAUUGAAUCCUUUAUAUGUUUCUGAAACAUAUGAGAACUAAAAUUGAAUUGGAUGAUUAAACAUAAUAAAGAUUUUUUUUUUAAGAUAUUGUUCCAUAUUAUGUACUUCAAAUAUUAUAAAUUAUUAUUAUAAAUGCGAACAAUACUCUUUGAAGCUAAAAAGAUCUCAUACAAUAAAUAAAAGUUAGUUUUCAAAUUAAUCUAGUUUUGGUUAUAUCGAAUAUCAUCGUAGAAAUUACAUAUUCGUUCAGUGAUAAAUAUUUCAGACAAAUAAAAAAAUGCUCGCAUAUCUCAUUUUUCGAAAUAUAUUUGAGAGAGUUGGGAUAAACAAAUAUUUAUUUACUGCGACUAAAUUUUCGAAUAGAUUCACAUCCGGCCAAAGCAUUUUCGCUUCGAUGUAUAUUAUAAACGAGUAAAUAUUGGCGCCGGGAAUAAGCCCCGAAAAAAGCAUAAUCUCUGUAACGAUAAAAUUGAGGGAAAAAUUUUCCAAUUUUUCCGGUAAAAUAUAACUCCACGUAACUCCCUUUUAUAUAUGACAUAGUCACAUAACACAGGAGUGACAUUGCCAUCAACGAACUCGCGUAAACUCGUUUCUGUAAAUAAAGAUAUUUAUUCAGAUUUAUUAAGAAAUAUUUAAUGACGCUUGUGCAAGUUUUUAUCAAAUUUUUAUUCAUGCUCAUCGUUUGAUAUAAAAUUUACUUAAAUAAAAUGUUGUUUACAAUUACAUUAUUUCGUUUAUUAAUGAAAAUGAUUUUAAUAAAUAUGAUAUGUGGAUACAAUUUUAAUGUCUGUUAUACUGUUACCUGAAUGUAUGCAUUAAUUUUUUUACUUAUUUAUGAUAUUUUCAAUAUAUUAUAUUGUUGUAUUUUUACUGUUACAUUUUAUAAAAAAAUAUAUGUAUUUAAAAAAUGUAAUAAUUUUCUUUCUUAUUAUUUACACGCGUAUUAGCGUAUCAAUGAUUAUUUCGCAGAACGACCAAUAUAAUUCUAAAAAAACAUGACGACCGUUCAAAAACAAUAUUUUAUUACACCUAGAUUUAUUAUAAUGUUUAAUAAAAUUUAUUAAGAAAAUAAUAACUCGUGUAUACUUGCAAGCAUACAGCCGAGAUCAAGCCUAUUUGACUAAUACGAUUGGCGCGUACGUUUGUAACGUGCCCGAUCAAAGUGAGUAGCGGUAACAGCAGAAAUCAGCCUUUGAAAGCAUUCGCUGAUAUUCGAUAGCCGUGCGCGGGGCUUGGAAAACGGGAAAGGAUAAAGAGAGUGACAAUAAGAGAGGUGAUGGUAGACGAUCGAACGAAACCGCCGGUCAGAGUAUUGUCAAGGUAUUGUCCUGCUCCGCUUCCGAAAUAAUCGUCAAGCCGACCUAAUGGGGCAUAAAGUCCCGAUAUCAAAAUAACUCAUCCGUGUCCGGCACGUGGUCAAACGCGUCGGGCUUUCCUCUCCGCGCUUUUCCGCGCCACCAGAAAGCUCCGGGCGUUAAAAAUAGCGGCGUGAAAAACUCCUUUCUGCGUCUAUUGUCCAACCGCCGAGAUAGAUUCCCCCCCGCGGAAAAAUCUUCGGUCCCGAGUGAUAGCACGCGAAAUCAGACUGUCACCGAGUUUUGACAUUCUCAGCCUCCACGUAAAAACGGUCCGUGCUUUUCAAUAGCGCGCUUUCAGACUUUUAUAUGCCAUAAAUUAAUAUGAACAAAAAAUAUAUAAAUUAUUACAACUAGCACUAAAGUUAUAUACAUGUUUAUUAUAUGUGUCAAAAAUAAUCAUAUGUAAUAAUAAGAUAAAAAAAUAUAUCUUUUUAAGGUUAUACAGUGAAUAUUAUCAUUUUUGUUAAGUAGAUUUAUUGUCAUAAGUAUUGAUAUAUUAAACAAUUUUAUAGAAUUACACAAGUUUUCGUGGAUCUUUCUAACAAUGUAAUUCUAUUUAAUUUCUUAAUAAGGAUCCAAAUAUGAGGUCAAAAUGUCGUGCCAUAUCAUUUUUUAAUUUAAUAAAUCUGCCAGUUUAGUGACAAAAUUAAGAAGUUUCUGAUUCACUUUAAACAAUUUCAAAUACGUUAUUGUCAUUAAUAUAAAUAUAUUUGCAAAGAUAUUAUAAAUAAUGCUAAAAAUAUUUCCAUCAAAUAUGACUUCUUAAAUAAAAGUGAUAUUAUUUCGUUUCUCAAAGUAAUCAAUAAUGAAAUUAGUUGUACUUUCAAAUAUCUGUAAAUAACUAAUCCUUCCUAGAAAAAUGUCAUAUAUAAACUGUUGAAAAUACAGCCAUAUGCUGGCAAUUUCUUCGAUUUCCCGGAAUAUGCGGCAGGAACGCUAAAAAAUUGAUUCUACCAUACAUGCUCAAGACCAUACACAUCUUUAACGAAUGCAGGGUGUAUAGGCCGAAAGUAGUUACGACACAUCAAAUACAAAGUUACAUUUCUGAAGUUGCACGAGCAACUCCGCUAAAUUGCUACAAUGUGUCCUUCCGCGCGUACGUAGAUCGCGUUUAAGCGAGCCUUCGUCGUACUUUUCAACACACAAUGCACAACUCACAUUACAAUGCAUCUAAAUUAUUGAUUACGGAAUAACCCAGAAUAGGACAUAAUCUAAAUUCGUAAUCGCUCGGUAUUCCGUCGUGCAUUGGCAUAAAGAAAAAAAGAUAGUCGUAAUGCCACGAGCCGUAAUAUGCACCGCUCAAGACCCUCAGUCGUUAAAAAAACCGACCAUAGAAUAAUAUCGAAAAAUUACCCGCUUCUCUCCUGUAAUUCAUACAAUUCGAUUAAUAAGUCAGAAAUUUCCCAUGUCAGAAGUCAACGUACUCGGUAAAUGCCCGUAUAUCGGGCACGCAUGUUUAAUGUGGAUCAAAUAGGAAAUAUCAUAUGUAUAUGUGUACGUCGACGUAAGACGGAUUGAUAUUAUAAAUUGAUAAACGUUAAAUGCAUCACCGCGAAGUGCAACAGUUUAAUCGAAUUCAAUUUCAGCGUUUACGUCUGCAUGAAUUUCUUAUAAUACAUUACUGACAUAAUCUUUUUUUUUUUCAAUUUAAAAAUUAUACGAUAUAAUACUGUAUUCUUCGAAAUAUUAAUUUAUUUAAUUAUUAUCUGUUUAACUAUUAUUAAUUUAUUCACUUAUUUCUCCUGAUAAAACAUGUACGCAAAAAAUAUCGUGACAUAUUUCAAUCGAGCGUCAUGAAUAAUUAGACUACUGCACGCUCGACGAUCGAAAUGUACAAGCGAAAUGUGGCGGCGGCACAGAUCGUGCGAAAAUUCGGCAUCAAAUAUAAUUGCGGAGCGUUGCAGGCUGCAUGCGAAAUCGAAGCCCGUUUUAUCGAAAGCCUUUCCUGAGUGAGGCGCACGCGAUCGAUCGCGAACGGCCUCGAAAUCGCGCUUACGUAACGGGCAUCGGAAAGUCGAAAUUACCCUAAAUAGCAACACAGUGUUGGUGGCGCGUAUCGGACCGGCGGAGGGUAUCUACCGCUGAUAGUUGUGGCGGUGGCGGUGGCACGACGAGGGACGCCGGGGACGAGCUCCGCGGGGUGGCCACCACCACCCUCGCAAGCCGGCAACUCGAAAGUAGGAACCGCGACUAUGGGCGAAGCUAAGUCUGUCCGUGUAAUGGGGCAUCGGCACGCGAUUUCUCCGGCCAACCCUCCCCUUUCCCCGCCCUCUACGUUGCACCCCUCGCGAUUCUAACUUUCAACUUCGCUCACGGCUCCCCCGAGCCCCCGCCUGCCCGGCCCAUCGGUGCACCUCAUCCCCGCGUGGCAGGGUGUUGCGCUGUGACUUAUCGGCUCUAAUUAUUCGCCGGCAAGAAAGCGGGCAGGCCGACGAUCAGACCUGCCACCCUCGUAAAGUAGCUUUUCUCUGACGCAUCGCGCGCACCUUCCUACAGCCGUUAACGUGGUAUUCAUUCGUUCGACGCUGGCUCGUGUGCGUAAUUGUUGUAUACUGUUGUGUACACCACCGCGAGCGCCGAUCGUUCGAGCACAACCUCUCGAAAUGAUUAAAGUCGCUUCACCGUCGGCUGUCUUAUCCAUCUAUCAUUGUUUGCCGGAGGAAACGUGUUUCAACCCGUUAACCUGAGUAAUUCGACGUUACGAGAGUUGUUACUGGCCCGGUAUAACUUUUAUUAUAGAAAUGAUAACUGUGUGUCUUUAAUGUAGCUUAAUAUUUGCGUAUUUGCUGAAAUUCAAAUAGAGAUCUGAAAAUAAUUUCUUAUUAGAAAAUAUAUAUGAUUACGUAAGACGUUUGAAUUGGUUGAUAGAACAUUAAAACUUUUGCAGCGUAAUUAUUUUAAUAAUUCAAUCAAAUUUUCGGUUUUGUAUCUAGCUAAAUUUGCAACAUUAAUAACAAAAUAUGAUAAAAUUGUUCACUGUGCUAAUGUUCGUUUCGCUCUCUUUCUCUCUCUCUCGCUUUUUCCUGCCUCCCUCUCUCUCUCUCUCUCUCUCUCUCUCUCUCGUACCAUUGUAUCGAUUUAAAACUUUAUUAUUUCAUUUCUGGCAUAUUACAUGAUUUGCGGGAUGUUGAAAGCAACAAGCACGACUUUUUCAGAAACGGUUUUGGAGCCGCAAAUGGCCUGUUUCCGGAGUCUUAUAUUUAGCUCACAACUUGAUAGAUGUUUACACGCCUGGCGAAGACUUAAUUCGUUCCGAAAGUUUUGCGAGGGGUGAGAAAGUUAUUUAUCUAAAAAACUAAAAUGAAACGCCGAUGGCGUGAUAAAUUUCUGAGUCACGGAAAGGAAUUCUAAUUCUAGCCUGUACACAUCUUGACCCGUUUCAAAGGCGAUCUCUUAAGUGAUAGACACGAAGAUCGGAGACACAGAUCAACGAGGGAACUGGGUAAAAUCGUUACGCUACAACCGGUUUACCAAGCAGGUUCAAUUCAACACACCGACACAUGGAAUUAAUAAUGUAAGCACUAAGCUAUAUCAGUGCUCAAUCCUUGCAGAAGCGGUGCCAACGUACAGUGCAUAUAUAAGCACAGAUACGCUCUACCGUGUAUCUACAAACAGAUGUUGACGGAAUAUCGACGAUCAAAUCAGAAUCUCUAACGAAGAUGUGGCAACUUAAAGAAGGGCAAAUUCUCCUCUCCUCCCCUAAAUAUUAAUAUUAAAGAAAAAUAUGCGACGUUAACAAAAUUCUGCAAAUUUUAUACUUGUAAGCUUUAAUUUGCAUUUAACUUAUUCAAUUUACCUUAUUUUCAGAAGACAGCAAGAAUCAUUUAUUAUGUUUUAGACGAACGAUUUCAAGAUUAAUUCAUACCUUAAACGCAAAAAUAACACCACUGACGGAUAAAAAACAAGCCAAAUAGGAAAAACUGAAUCUCAAAUAAAAUAUGACACAACAAAAAUAGUAGCAAACUUAAAUUCAUGAACGUUAUAUUUAUAGAAUAAAGUCGAAAAAGAUUGACUAGAUUUUAUAAAAUGUAUCUCCUCAUUAAAAGUCUAGUUAUUAGUGUAAAUAAAUACUUGUGAAGAAAAUACUUAAAAAAUUUCAAAAAUAAAUCACGCGUUUCAUCAAACUUUUGUCCAGAUAUUUUAUUCGAGUUGUUUUUUCUAUAUUUAUAUCAAUAAUAAAUAUAAUUACCAUUGUGAGAUAAAAAAUUACAAGUUUACUAUUUCUUCCUUUUAUUCUGUAAUUAUUUUCCUCUUAAUAAUCAUUAAUUAUUAAAAAUAAAUGUAUAAAAAUAUACAUUUCGAAAACAACUUCUAUUUAUUGCGCACGAAAAUUCCCUAAGAACAAAUUUGCUGUUUUCAUUCCAAAAUAUUUACACAAAUAUUAUAAAAAGAUUUCCACGAAAUUAGACGGUGCGCACGUGUGAGGAUCCAGAACCACCCUCUCUCUAAACAGUUCGCUUUGGUGUGAUAAUUUUUCAAUUUGGCUUCAUGCGUUAUUGAAGCUCGCAUUGGAAGCUCGUCAACAAUAUCAGUGGCCCUUUUCGACGAGGAGUCUGAGUGGCUGCCGUACAAAACAAUACUAACCCAGGAUAAGCGAUCUCCCUUCUCCCUCGUAGCCGACCUCGUGUCUACCACUACGUUCCAGCCCUAUCCGGGAGUAAGAAGAGUGUAAGCAAUGCACAUGUUGUGUGCUACCAUGUUUUUUACAUCAGCCAGACGAUACUCAAGUCGCGAAGUAAGAGAGGACGUCCGUCCAUGUUAAUCGCCGGUACAUGCGCGCCACGCACACGCAGAACUGUUUGCGGAAGUUCGUUACAAGUUUCUCCUCGGCUGCCGCUAUCCUUCUGCUUGCUUAUGAUCCCCUGUGACUUCAUGAUGCCGGCGAGCCUCCACUGCGGUCAGCUAAUUCUUUUUUUUAUUCUGCGGUUAUUAUCGUCAUAUAUCGUCAUAUAUUCAUCGAUUAAUGAAUCGAAAUAUCAUGUAAUGUUUUUUCAAGCAUUUUUAUCAUUCUUUGAUAGUUUGAUUAUAAGAUUUAAAAUUAAAAUAAUCAUAAAAUAACUAACGUUAAACGUAAUGCUAAUUCUCGAUUUUAAAGUAAUGGAGGUUUAAAAAUUACCUUACAAUUAACCCAAUUAAAUUAAACAUAAUAUGUAAAAUAAAAAAAAGUUGUAUGCGUACAGCACUGAAUUUUGAUGCGUCAUUAUUUCUUUUAUAUUAUUAUUAUUAUUAUUAUUAUUACUGCCGUAAUGUAUCUAUCUCUGACAAACUUCGAUCUCAUCAAAAGAAUCUAAUGUAUUCUGCAAAAUGUCACGGAAGUCGUUUCUUCUCGUUCUCCCAUUCUUCUCUCGAAUUUUAGAAUAAUUUUUACAUGCAAUUUUUACGACGCGAGUAGUUUAUAAAGCGACUGCAUCAAAAAAUCUACCGAUGAUCAUCCGCACAGUUUCCCGCAUUACGUCAACGUACGACUCAAAACACUGACGCAGAAAACGCAUCACGAUUGUUUGCAACUCGGCCGGCCUGUCGAGCUUACACUGUGUUUAAUAUAUAACGAUUGUAUAUAUACACAGAAUGGACGGAGAGUGGCGAUAUAGACGGAGAUGAAUGGGGUAAAGAGGCGGAGGGUUGACGUUGAAUACGGCAAAGGAGGACGGGAGCGAGGUGGAAAGCUUACACGUACGAGAGAAGGGAGAGAGGAGAGAAAGGUUACCGGGGAAGAGGUGCGGGAGGGUGGCGCGCGAGGGCGGGAACCACCAGUCGUUUGUCGUCCGAUAGAUAAACAACGUCGUUAUUGUAAAUGCAUUGGAACAACACGCUGCGGGGCUUCAUUGGCGGCUUUUCUUCGCGAUGCGAAGCGGCGCGCGCCCGUCGUUGUUUACGAGAUCGAUAGUCCGAUCGUUAGGAGAUCGAUUUUAUCGUAUCGCCUCUCGAGACGGGGAGAAACAAUCAUUGUAACGUAUCGCCGUUGUACUACGGUUCGGCGCUUACUCUCUCUCUCUCUCUCUCUCUCUCUCUCUCUCUCUCUCUCUCCUUUUUUCUUUUUCGGUAUGCGAAGAAUCGGCCGCUGUCCAUCUCUCUCCCGAUCAGCCCCGACGUCAUCCAAUGUCGUUCAUGCGCUCACGCUCACCCUUUCGCCCUCAUCCCUCCUUCCCUUUUCACCCUCGCCAUUUCCACCCCUCUCACUCUCUCGGGGGAUGAUGGACUUGCACGGCGGACGACGUAGAACAGAGAAUAACAAGGCAGGUCACGCGAUACAGGCGCGGAUGCAACGAAAUUACACACCGAUCUCUCUGUCUCUCGCGCGAUCGUACGCCCCUAUGAAAUAUUUGUUCCGUUAUAAUGUAAUACUGAUUCGCGAAUAUUCCGCUGUUUUUUCCAUUUACGCGCAAAGGGGCCACGCGCGAGACGGAUACUAGGACAUUCGAUCUCGCGUGAAUCGUGCUCGCGCCCGGAGAUCGCGCGUUGCGUUCCCCGACGAUUUUCAUUCUCGGACGACGACGGCGGGACAGGAUAUUUUAUCCAGAAAAAUUUUGAUACACUCGUGACUUCCUCGUAAGUCCCGGCGAGCCCGACCACGGCGGAAUCGAGCCGAUAUUUAUGUGCGAGGGCGCGCGCGCGCGUGGACUUUCAUUUGACUGUAAUAACAUGUCGCGCGCACGAGACGUAGUGUUUGCAAGGGGGUAAUUCGGGAUGCAAAUUAAUGCGCGUAAUGGCGAUAAUACGGGCGGAGCUGCGCGCUUUUUCGCGACGGGCUGCUCCGUUGAAACGUAACGCCGCCAAUAGGGAGCGGAAAAUCUGAUCCCGAGUUCUUCCGGUGCAUUGCCGGCAGAAGUAACAUUUGCAUGCCAUAUUGAGAUUUUUGUAUUGUUUGCGCGGAUAAUGAUGGAUCUUCGUUGUUGAUUGCGCACUAAUGAUUCCUUAUUAAGCCGGCCUGCGCCGAGUUUCUGGAAGCGAUAAGGAAAUUGUUGGGAAAUACAGAUUCCCGAGAUAAUCGCGGGAUAAUCGCAUUAGGUUGAAUCCCGCGGUGGGAUCUCCUCCUCAAAAUAAACGUUGAAGCAAGCGAGGUCGCGCGGGCAAACGAUACAAAUGCACCGUCGAACAAUUGGGGCAACGCAAUAAUUUUCAAUGGCAACGAAAUCGCCGGGUCAAUUGAAUCAUAAAUGAUACCGCCAAACCGUAAAUAACUUGUACAACUUCGUUCGCGCGCUAUCGCCUUAAAUUUCUUGCUCGCGGCUUACAAUACGGUGGAACCUUGAGGUUCAUUUGAACCGUCCUUUUUUUUUUUCCGGACGACCCGCUUCGGCCGAGCGAUCGUUUCCUCGAUUUCUCAACCGCAUUUAAGUGCGGUGCUAUGACGGACUGUACGGUGACCAUGAGAGCCCGACGCCCGCUGUUUGUUCCUCGCUUUAUCUCGAACGUAAACAUCGCUUGGAAUAUAUAGGCGGUGGUGUUAGGAGCGACCGAGAUGCACGGUACGAACGAAUGCGUGCACCUACGCGCCGCGGAGGGAAGAAGAAGAACGAAGGCAGGCGGCGAAGAAGAAGAAGACGACGACGACGACGACGACGACGACAACGACGACGGCGACAGCCGGGGCACGCAAGGACCUAGCCGGAGGAAAAAGGAGAAACGAAAAUAGAAGGACGGACACACAUGGUCGUGCAGGACGGACGGACACUGGAUAAACAAGGGGCAAUAGAGAUAAACAGAGAAUAUUACGAGAAAUAUGCGCAAACACGAAACUCUCGUUCCUCCUCUCGCGCAUGGUCUUCUCGCUCCCACACACACACACACAACACACAUACACCUACACACGUACAUACACCGCCGUCCUCUUUCCGCUCGCUUUCGUUUGUUUGGCCGCGUGUUUGCCCCCGCCGCUCAUCCGCGCCGCUCAUUUGCAACCUACUUUUUUAAGCCCUGCUCUCUCCCUCUCCUUUGCUCCGCUCCCGCCCCCGCAUCGCACUCACCCCUCGCGGUCGUCAUUCCCAUUGCUCGCUCGCUCGCUUGCUUGCUACGUCGCAUUGCUGCUUAAUUUAUACCCCGCCAAUGUUUCGUUAAAGAUUUUCUCGCUCGUCGAGAAACGCUCGCUUUCUGCUCCUCGAGUAUGUUUGGCCGUAAAGUUUUUGCCGUAAGUUUCAAAUGCAUUCGACACCAUGGAAAAAUAAUUGAAUAGCCACGUGAGAUUUGUUUCUCCCAAGUAAUGUAACCCUUCAUUUCGAGUGCAAGUAUGCGGUUGGUGAUAGUCUCAAAAAUUUAUUGUUAAUUCUGGAACACUAUUGAUAUUGAAUACUAUAGUUAUUUGUAAUUACAUAAAUUAUGUAUUUAUGAAUCAUUCUUAAUUUAAAAAUCAGUCACGUACGUAUUAUUAAGAGAGCUACAAUGUUAAACAAUUAAUGUAGAAACAAUGUAGAGAACAAUGUUGAGAAAAACAAUGUAUUUUCAAUAUUGUAAAUUACUGUAGUUUCACAAAACGCAGCGUGUCACUUCUUCAACAUAUUCAAAGCGUCUAUCGUGUAAUGCAUUUCAAUUACAAAACCUAGCAUAAGAAUCUUUGAAAAAAGAACUACAUGUGUAGUUUUAGUCAGCGCGUGACUCAUCAGUAGUUGCUAUAUAGAGAUAAUUUUUCUAAGGAUUUCUUUCUAAGAUAAACUACCGUAACGUGUGCAAAAUUAAAUUGCACGAAAAGUUGCAAACCCAAUAUUAAUUUAAUAAACAUGAACGCACAAUAUAAUUUUCAAUAAUACGGCGAAAUGGAUAAGUUUGUGACGUUUAAGAAAAUUAACUCUGUAAUGUUGCGACGUACGCGACAUUUUCAGUCGAUGACGUACUUUGCAAAUUUACAUACGCAAACAAGUUGCGCCAAUACAAAUAGGCAGAAGCAAAUAGCGAAGCCGCACUAACGAAACUUUUAUGAGCGAGCUAAUUGUCAGAACGGUAUACGUGACUGCGACUCAACUGCAACAAAGCAUUAUUCGAAUUAUAACAUCAAGUAAUGUCGAAUAUUAUGCAUAAACGUUCGUUAAUUGUUUUAUUUAAGAUGAAUUCAAUAUAAUGAAAAAUAAAUGACGCAUCAAUUCAUUAAUAGUUUUACAAGAAAAAGUGACCUCGAAACCAAUAAAUAUAAAUACGUUAUAUAGAACAAUUAAUACAUUAAAAUAUUGUUUUUUGACUGUAACGGGUAUCGUUUUUCGAGACAUUUCCAUAAAAUGAUUAUUAAUUUCAACUUGUUUAAUUCUUGUAAUUAAUAGCAUUUUGUAUCAUAUUUCUCAUUAUUAUAGGAUUGAAAUUUGCAUAGAAUAUUAAAUUUUACUGCAUUUUACAAUUUACCUUUUUUUUAAAUUUAUCUUGAAAUCAAAAGUUAUAUAUUCAUUCGAUUAUGUUAUUAAGUAAAUUGCAUGGUGCGAGGAAAAAUUCAUUUAACAUUUCGGAGAAAAUAAUUAUUAAAGCAGGAUCAUAUUUCUUUCGUAAUGGAACAAUAUCGUUUCGAUCAAUUCACAUAAUACUUCACUUUGCUGCAAGUACUUCAUAAUUUUGCGUAUACGGUCGAAGUGAAAUUAGGUCAAUAACGAGACGUGGAAGAACUUGCCGCUGAACGGAAGAUUAAUACGCAGAAUCUUUCUUCAAUUAAUAAACGCUUACUCAUCCGCCCCCGCAUUCGCAGCCAAUGCUGAUUUUAUUACAGAGCCGUUUAUUCCGGCGAAUUUAAAAGAUACAAACAUCAUUUGUCAUAAUGUCCGCGCUGCCGCUUAUUUUUCUCAAUUCUUUACGCCAGUUGAUUGAUCGAUUAAUCUUGCCUUGUCAAUCUUCCGGUAUGCAAGCUCUUGCGGAGCGACUGCGCAAUCGCCAGAUCGGUAACAACAUACCGGAGAGCCUAUAAUCAAGCGUUCACGCUCUUGCGUAAUUGAUCAAAGAUCGUUGAAGCAAUACGAUGACAAAUACAUUGUCAUACUACAAAUUAUCCAGUACCUUUAUCAAUAUUUUUCGCUUCUGAUAGGGCAACCUGCCGUUUUGCAAAUAUGCGAAAUACAAAUUUAAUAGUGUAAAAAUGUUAAAUAAGGAGUGCGCUUGGAUUUUUUAGAUGUCAAAUAAUUUUGUAAGAAAACAUCAUUUAACGAAUCAAGAAUAAUUAUCCGAAUACUUUUUACGUAUCGCGAUUACGUUUCAUAUUUUUAAAUAUUUUGAUUAUUAUUAUAAUAAACUUUCUGAGCGCGAUUUUUAAAUUUCGUGAGUUCUGUUUAAUCACUGACUGGAAGGCGUUCUUCGUCGAGACAUUCGCAAUAACCUCAGACAAAAAAAUGUUGCGGCACGUAUCAAUCGCCGGACGCUCGAUUAUUCGAGCACAACCGAAGGUGUCCAAAAAAUUCGCAGUGUCCAUCCCGGCUCUCUCGGACUACCGAUAUAGGGACGAGACACGAAAGGGAAUGAAUGCAGACGGGACAGGUAAGGUAUUUGACGGUCUAUGGUGCCUGGGGUACGUCGAGGGCAGACUAUAUAAUUUCCCUUGAGGGAGAUCGGGAUGGGCGAUACGGGGGUGGGCUGGAGGGGCCAGCGAAAAAAGGGACGGCAAAAGGGGUGGGGGAGAGGGGGCAAGGGAGAUCGGCGUGUUUUCCAGGUAGGGAGGUGCCGCGCUCAUCCGCGAGCCCAUCAACGCAACCAUCCUCCGACAAUCGAUUAUUAUCUUUCCAAUUUGCAUAGCAACCGAGCUCUUGUUCAAAUCUGCACCCCCUGUUUCGACCCCUUUGGCAACCCCUUGCAAAUCCUGCCCCGGCCGCCAGCGUGACUCCUCGUCAGGCACUCCGUAUCGUUUCUGUUACGCUGUCGGCUUUUUCUGUCCCGGGCAUUCACGUUCAAUCUCCUUGCCAAGGAUGAGGGGAGGGAUAACUUGAGGGUGCUCUUGAAAAUCGCGAGGCGGCCCUUGCCUCGUUUCGCACGCGGGAUGCUCAUUUUUUUCGCCGUGAUCCCAAAUUUUAAUCUAACGUCUUGUUACGAGCAAAGAUUUUUCAUUAGGGCACUGAGUGUAUUUGGCAGACGAAAUAUUCGCAAUAAUAUAAAGGUAUGACAUAAGCACAUGUAAAAUAUAUCGUAAAUGUGCAUUUAUAAAUGAAGAAGAACGCUUCACACCAAAUGUUUAGAUGUUUAAAUAAAAUCGUGCACAUAUUAAAAACAGCAAAAUAGACUUUGUCCUGGACAUAAAUAAAAUUCCAUACCACGCGUGUAGAUCAAUCCUUAAUGUGACAUUUUAUAUAUUGAAUUCUUUUUUAAAAUUUUGAUUUAUUGAUUUUCAUGUGUGCAUUGUGACAUAUGGCAAAUCUUUCUUCCAAUUUCUUAUUCCUUCAUUGUCAGUCAAAUCUAUCUGUUAUUUAACGCCAUGCAAUUAUACUGAUUUAGAUAUUCACGACAUACGAUCGUACUUUUCUUAAACUCUACUUUUCAUGAACUCGUAACGUGUGUCUUACGACGACAAUGUAUAUUUACUUUCCGACAUUUAUUCGAUUAUAUUCGAUUCGAUUUCAACUCUGUCGCGUUAUGUUGUAAAAGUAUUAUAACAUUAUCUAUUUUCAUCAAAUAACAAGAUACAUAAUUAAAAA